Molecule: ribosomal RNA, 347 nt
Filed under: uncultured bacterium
Lineage: Bacteria
Description: partial 16S ribosomal RNA
Rfam family: Bacterial small subunit ribosomal RNA
Source: RNAcentral
CCUACGGGUGGCAGCAGUGAGGAAUAUUGGUCAAUGGCCGGAAGGCUGAACCAGCCAUGCCGCGUGAAGGGCAGGGACCUAGGGGCGUGAAACUUCUUUUGUGCGGGAGCAAGAAUGGUCACGUGGGGCCAGACGAGAGUACCGUACGAAGAAGCAGCGGCUAACUCCGGGCCAGCAGCCGCGGUAAGACGGGGGAUGCAAGCGUUAGCCGGAUUUAGUGGGUUUACAGGGUGCGUAGGCUGUGAGGUAAGUCAGCGGUGAAAGGCCCCCGCUCAACGGGGGGAAGUGCCAUUGAUACUGCCUUGCUGGACUGCGGCUGCCGUGGGCGGAAUGUGUGGUGUCGCGGU